Non-coding RNA from Durio zibethinus, 2246 nucleotides. The record is from RefSeq and is a predicted model, not a curated record. NCBI's taxonomy places the organism in Eukaryota, Viridiplantae, Streptophyta, Magnoliopsida, Malvales, Malvaceae.
AUUACAGUUAAAAUUUAAUUUGCAUAUAUUGUUUGCCAUUGGAGAUAAGAAUAGUUCAAUAGAAAUAAGGAUUAAAUUGAAGAAGAGUAAAACUUGAGGGAAAAUUAAUACGUGCAUGAGCAAUUUGCGCGAAAUAAUUACGUAGUUUGUAACAUUAUCCUUUGGGCUUUCGCUUCUUUGUUCUCCCUCUUCCAACUCCGGCCUCCUCCUCUUUCUGACAAAUUUGCUUCGCUAAAAUUGCAAAAAGAAGAGUUCUCACAUGUUCCCUAAAUCUCUUCUAUUACUCAAAAUCCGGGUUCUUGUAUCCGCCUCGAACCGCCAGUUAACGGCUUCAAGCGCUGCUUUUCGAAUUACCGCCACCUAUUCUACAAUAUGCUAAAACCAAGCUGAAAGCCUGACGGAAGAAGCUCUAGAGUAUCUGAGAGACUCUAUUGAACUUUUCAAGAAAUGGGGUUGCAGCGAAAAUGAUUUGUUGAAGAUUUUUUCAUGCCAGCCUUCUUUGCGCCAUGCUCAAGUAACUCCCCUUUUAUCCAAACUCAAGUUGCUGAGUAGCUUGGGACUCACCACUUCCGACAUCGUUAAGAUAAUCAAUUGCCGGCCUCGUUUCUUUUGUUCUCGUAUCAAUAAUUACUUUGAUGAGCGGGAUGAUUUUCUCACGACCCUGUUCGGUUCACGAGAAAUGCUUCCCUUCCCUCUUGACGUAUGAUUUCCACAAUAGUAUCAGACCAGUCAUUGCAUUGUAUGAAGAAAUGGGUGUUAGCAGAAAUGAUUUGAUUGCUGUGCUCAUCUUGCCUCCCACGUUGAUUCCAAGGACUUCGUUUAAUGAGGAGAUGGUAUAUAUAAAGAAAACAGAGGUUUCAAAAGGUGCCAAGAUGUAUAAAUAUGUGGUUGCACUCAUUGGCAUGUCACGCUUGAGACUAUACGUGAAAAGGUGACAAUUUGUGCUUAUACGCAUACUGCUAAUAUGCACAUGUAUCUUAUUAUAUCUGGUUAAAGUGGUAAAAAUUUGUGCUUUGCAUCAUGUAGCACUGAUUUGAUUUGUUUAACCUUUUGUUCAGUUCUGAGGCAAGUGACUUUCCUUUUUUCUGUAAUAUAACUUUUUCCUUUUAACAGACGUGAUAAUCUGUUCUCAGGCUUUUGAUGAUUGCAUGGUACAUUUACCUAUUUCCUUUACCCAUCUUUCUCGGUUCGGUGGUCUCGAGUUCAAUGCCAUAGCUCCAAACAUACUAGAAUUUGUGGUUUAUGAUGGUGAAAUCUACAUUUAGCAACAACAAUUUGCAGCCUGCUCUCUGCUCUCUGUCUCACCAUUAUACAAUGGUUCAUGACCAGUGCAUGUUGUAAUCAUCUCUUAUCAUGUGUGUUCAGAUAAAUUUUAGUUAUAAUACAUUGACUACUAUUAUUUUAAGUUAAAAUUUAGGUAUAAUACAUUGACUACUAUUUUAUUAUAAGUUAAAUCAUGCUGUUGGUUUCUUUACAUGUAUAUAUUAAGGCAUCUAAUGUAGUUGUAGCAUUCGUCAUACAGGGUGGUGAUUCCGCUACUCAAGGUGAAAUCUCUUUUCUUCUUGAAACAGCAAGGCUCAACCAAUACUUAUAAGCAUCCACUUCUUAGAAUAGAACAACUGUGAGAACAUUAAUGGAGUCGAGACUAUUUUAUCUUGUCAUUUAAGUUUAACUAUAUGUUUAUAUUUUUCUAGUUGUUUGGGACUUGAGGAAGCAUAAACCCGUGAUAAGUUGCGAGGAACGGUUCUUCCACAACCUUCAAUCUGCUUAAUGGUGCGUUCAACUCCGAUGAGGGUCAUCAACUUAUGGGUCACGGCAGGGCAUACGCACUCGACAUGGGUGACCCUGACACGUGUGCAGCAGUCGGAUGAGGGGGGUGUGGCCGAACAUGACGGCACUGCAAGCAUUCACGAGCAGGCGCUGCUCCUCUUUGCACUGGAUAGGAGUCAUGCCUCCACUUGCGGCAGGAACCUCAAAAACACCCUCUACCACCACGAGCACAAAAAUAAACACACCAAUCCAUGAGCUUGCCAUCAUCUCUUUUUUUGCUACUGUUGGUGUACUUUUGCCUCGGAAGCAGACCCCUUUCAAUAGAGGGAAGGAACUCUAGCCUCGACAUUUACAAUAACACAAUUUCAGAUUUUUUAAAAUAAAGUAAGAAUUUUAUGCAUAGAAUUUUUGUCUAAUGGGACCUCUCAUGUGUACUUAGAAUUAGAUUAAAUUUUAGGUCUUGUUUCGUAUUGCUG